Microcebus murinus (gray mouse lemur) is the source of this 486-nucleotide non-coding RNA. The record is from RefSeq and is a predicted model, not a curated record. NCBI's taxonomy places the organism in Eukaryota, Metazoa, Chordata, Mammalia, Primates, Cheirogaleidae.
GGAAAAUGCCGCAGCCCCUUCCGCCCGCCGAGCCGCCUCCGCAGCGUCGCCCUCUCUCUCGGCGCAGAGACCCGGGCCACGUUGCUCUGCAGAGCUGUGGUGUCCUGCUGAUGUUCUUCAAGGAUGUCACAUCAGUCGUGCUCAGGAGAGCGUUGGCCUCGUGCACGGAACGGUCACCUUCUGUCAACCGCUUUUCUUGUUCUUCCAGGUGUCGCCUUCUUGACAUGGCCUCUCUCUGUUUUUGCCUGGAAGUUUUGUGUGCGUGUUCCCAUGGGGGUUAACAGAGACUCGGUCAACGUCAUCUGCCACCUGACUUGUUGGCGGAAACUGCAAUUUAUCAUUCUGCCGGGGCUGCCGGCGCCUCUCCGGGCAUGAUGUCGCCUUUCGCAAGUGCGUUUCCUUGAGUCUUGCCACAGAGCACUUGGAGGGCUCUCUGAAGAUGGCUCACAGCAUUCGAUCAAGUCAUUAAAGCCGGGUUGCCACUUU